CGUUCACGGUACAGGAGGGCAGCGGAUAAGAGCGGCAGCUCUCCUCCCACCGUCCACUUGCUCUGAACCAAGGCACCGGCGUGUGCCUCGAGCCUGCCGUCACACACACCUCCAGCCCACUGAGAGCGAGGAAAGCCCCCAAAGACGAGUGGAAACAUGCUGCAGUAACGUCCCCUCUGAACCGAGGCUGGACCUGGUGCCACUCUCCGCGCUCCCGCGCCUCCCUUUUCUUCGUCUGCGGCGUGAAAGUUCACCUGUGCCAGCCUUCAGCGACCCGCGCCCUGCUCCACCAGCCACCCGCUGCUGGCCACCUUUGCGGGGGAUACGUGCGAGCAAGCUUGGUCCUGGGAACUCCAGUCAAGUCACCUCAGACAGAGAGCUUCAUGGUGAGUGGGAUGCUUGUGCUCUGGAAGCAGGACUGACGGAAGGAGCAUGGUGAAACACCAACCGCUGCAAGUCUACGAACGACAGCUAUGUUUGUCAUGCAUCACGGGCAUCUAUGGUUGCCGUUGGAAACGCUACCAGCGUUCACACGACGACACCACAAAGUGGGAGCUCCUGUGGUCGCUCAUCCUCCUGCUCACCUUCUGUGGACUGCUGGUCUGGUCCUACUUCUGGUUGGAGGCUCGGAAUGACUACAAUGAGUUCAACUGGUUCCUGUACAACCGCUCUGGGGAGUGGAGCGAUGGCACUGUUCCCAUCCUGGCCACCACCGCCGCCGGCCUCACCUACAUCACUUUCCUGAUGGUGUUAGCUGUGUGCCACGUCGCUCUGGGCCAGCAGUUGAAUUUGCAUUGGCUCCACAAGAUAGGGGUGACGGCUGCUCUGCUCACGACGAUUGUGGGAGUGAUAUCAGUCAACCAAACGUGGGGCCGGGAGUGGGACGUCCUGCCAGUCUCCCUGCAGGCGACCGGUCCGUUCCUGCACGUUGGGGCGCUCGCUGCCAUCACAGCGCUGUCCUGGAUCGUGGCUGGGCAGGUGGCUCGUGCUGAAAAAACACUGUUCCAGGUUGUGGUGAUGCUGCUGUAUCUCAGUCUUCUGCUGGGCCUCUAUGUGGCGCCGCUGUACAUCACCUCGCCCUGUAUCAUGGAGCCCACCGACCUCAAACCUCGACCCAGCGUGAUCGGGCACCAGGGGGCGCCCACGCUGGCCCCUGAAAACACACUGUGGUCUUUCCAGAGAGCCCUGCAGAUGAAUGUGACUGGCUUUGAGGCUGACGUGGCCAUUAGUGUGGAUGGGGUCCCUUUCCUGAUGCGGGACCAGACGCUGCAGCGCACCACUGACGUUCACAAGGUUUUCCCCGACAGGCAGACGGAGGACGCCUCACUCUUCAACUGGACGGAUGUGCAGCAGCUUAACGCCGGACAGUGGUUUCUGAAGAAUGACCCCUUCUGGACGGUACACACCUUGACCCCGCAUGAGAGGAGCCUGAUCGCCAAUCAGAGUGUGUGCAGCCUGGAGCAGCUGCUGAAGCUGGCCUCCUACCACAAUAGCUCGGUGGUGUUCAGGCUGAGGCGCCCACCUGUGGACCACCCCUGCCACCACAGCUGGAUCAACCACACGCUGCAGACCGUGCUCAAGUCGGGGGUUCCUCAGGGCCUGGUGAUGUGGACGCCGAGCGAGGACAGGGGUCAGGUGCGACGGCAGGCUCCCGGUCUCAUCCAGACAUCGCUGGUGAAACAGAGCCCUGAAACCCUCCGAGAAAAUGAAAUCCGUGGCCUGCUGCUUCGCUACAACCAGGCCAACACAAAGGAAAUCAGGGACUUCACUCAGAGGAACGUCAGCCUCACGCUCUACACUGUCAAUCAGCCCUGGCUGUACUCGCUGCUGUGGUGCAGCGGCGUCUCGGCCGUCGCCUCCGAGGCCCCUCAGGUCCUCAGAAAGGUGCCUUACCCCAUCUGGCUCUUGAAGCCGGAUCAGUACUGUCUGAUGUGGGUCUCUGCGGACGUCCUCUCCUUCGCCGUGGUGAUAGGAAUAUUUAUUUUCCAGAACUAUCACAUGAUCAGGUAUCGCAGCAGCGGGAUGCACAGCUACAACCCUGAGCAGAUCAUGCUGAGCGCCGCCGCCGUCCGCAGGUCCAGCCCAGACCUCAGUGUGAUGAAGGAGAAGCUGAUCUUCUCCGGUACGACCCGCAGCUGACGCCGUGUCAUGUCCCAGCAUGCAUCUCUCUGGAGUGUCUGUCAGUCUUCUAGCGGCGCCUCCUCCCUCUGCUCCGAAGGUCAACCCCAGUAGCUCCUGAUUGGUCAUCCUCACUGUGUGUGACGUGCACCCCCCCCCUCAUCUCCCGCUCCACCCGUGACUCCUCCCUCUUCUCCAUGCAUCCCUCAUGUUUCCCUUCAUCCAUCCAUCCACCCCUCCUGCCCUUCACACCUUCCUCACCAGCCAGCUUGCCUCCUGGCAGACUCGUGUACUGGGGGUCAAAGAAGUGGGGAACGGAGUCGGUGGCCCUGAGGAGAUGUACACGGACGACUACGACUACUACAGUCACCGAGGCGUCCGCCGCUGACCCCGGGUCACAUGAGGGCCCGGUGUAAAUAGUUCAGUGUCCUGCCUGCCUGACACCGCUGCAUGGAAAUGCCUCUUAAUGACCACUCCAGCGUCCCGCUGAUGUUUUAAGCUUGUUUUCUAGAGCAGGUCCUUGUUUUUAAUCGCCGUCGGGCCUGUUCUUUUGAACGGCCGCAGCGACUCCUGCCUUCUGUCAGCUUCCCUGCUGAGCUGUUGUUGUUACUGUAUUAUUUAUAUCCAACAUGGAAAACCCAAAACUAUACACACAAGCUGUUUACAGAAGCCCCGCCUUCUCUGAUGGACGUAAGCACAUGCUGUUGGAGACAUGGAACCAACGACUGCUGUUUUUAUGGUUUACGUGAAUGACUUUUUGUUUUUAUUUUUUACAAAUGGUGUUUCUUGUGACUGUAUAUUUCUGUAAAAAAGGUGCAUUGAAGCAGGUGACGACAGCAGAAGUUCCACAGGUGGUUGUUGUUGUUGUUGUUUUGGGGAUGUGAAGUGAACACUGUAAAUAAAGUGGCUGAUGAAGAUGAAGCUCCGAGCACGACUGCAGGCUCGUGAUCUUUACUGUUAAUGUUGACCUGUACCGUGUAUUACUGUGCCUCUGACAAUAAAACGACUCCGAAUACCAGCUUUCACAAGUCCGUCUGGUCCUUAAAUAAAACCAGAAGAUUUAUUUUG
Molecule: RNA transcript, 3186 nt
Organism: Synchiropus splendidus (mandarinfish)
Lineage: Eukaryota; Metazoa; Chordata; Actinopteri; Syngnathiformes; Callionymidae
Gene: gdpd5b
Gene name: glycerophosphodiester phosphodiesterase domain containing 5b
Exons: 17
Source: RefSeq, a predicted model, not a curated record